RNAcentral lists this ribosomal RNA (482 nucleotides) under uncultured bacterium. Its description in RNAcentral is "bacterial SSU rRNA". It matches the Rfam family "Bacterial small subunit ribosomal RNA", at positions 28 to 507 of the family's 1533-position model. The record is from RNAcentral.
GAUGAACGCUGGCGGCGUGCCUAACACAUGCAAGUCGAACGAACCUUGGGGAACAGAUUACUUCGGUUUGAAGUUCCCCGCUGGUUAGUGGCGGACGGGUGAGUAACGCGUGGGUAACCUGCCGUAUGCAGGGGGAUAACAGUUAGAAAUGACUGCUAAUACCGCAUAAGCGCACAGUAUCGCAUGAUACAGUGUGAAAAACGAUAGUGGCAUACGAUGGACCCGCGUCUGAUUAGCUAGUUGGCGGGGUAACGGCCCACCAAGGCGACGAUCAGUAGCCGGCCUGAGAGGGUGAACGGCCACAUUGGAACUGAGACACGGUCCAAACUCCUACGGGAGGCAGCAGUGGGGGAUAUUGCACAAUGGGGGGAAACCCUGAUGCAGCGACGCCGCGUGAGUGAAGAAGUAUUUCGGUAUGUAAAGCUCUAUCAGCAGGAAAGAUAAUGACGGUACCUGACUAAGAAGCACCGGCUAAAUACGUG